GUCCACACCGUAAACGAUGAUUACUAGAUUUUGGCCUUAUGGUCAGAGUCCAAGCGAAAGUGUUAAGUAAUCCACCUGGGGAGUACGUCCGCAAGGAUGAAACUCAAAGGAAUUGACGGGGCCCGCACAAGCGGUGGAGCAUGUGGUUUAAUUCGAUGAUACGCGAGGAACCUUACCUGGGCUUGAAAUUUAGUGACCGCUCCUGAAAGGGAGCUUUCCGCAAGGACACGAAACUAGGUGCUGCAUGGCUGUCGU
RNAcentral lists this ribosomal RNA (255 nucleotides) under uncultured bacterium. RNAcentral describes it as "partial 16S ribosomal RNA". It matches the Rfam family "Bacterial small subunit ribosomal RNA", at positions 793 to 1055 of the family's 1533-position model. The record is from RNAcentral.